This 457-nucleotide ribosomal RNA is filed under the name uncultured bacterium. Its description in RNAcentral is "partial 16S ribosomal RNA". It matches the Rfam family "Bacterial small subunit ribosomal RNA", at positions 339 to 795 of the family's 1533-position model. The record is from RNAcentral.
CUACGGGAGGCUCCAGUCGAGAAUCUUCGGCAAUGGACGCAAGUCUGACCGAGCGAUGCCGCGUGCGGGAUGAAGGCCUUCGGGUCGUAAACCGCUGUCAGUUGGGAGGAAGGCUCCGUGAAGAGCGGAGUUUGACCUAUCUUCAGAGGAAGUCCGGGCUAAGUUCGUGCCAGCAGCCGCGGUAACACGAACCGGACGAACGUUAUUCGGAAUUAUUGGGCUUAAAGGGUGCGUAGGCGGUGCGGUAAGUGAGGUGUGAAAGCCCACGGCUCAACCGUGGAAUUGCGCUUCAUACUGCCGUGCUAGAGGGAGACAGAGGUAAGCGGAACUGAUGGUGGAGCGGUGAAAUGCGUUGAUAUCAUCAGGAACACCGGUGGCGAAAGCGGCUUACUGGGUCUCUUCUGACGCUGAGGCACGAAAGCUAGGGUAGCGAACGGGAUUAGAUACCCCCGUAGUC